This 206-nucleotide long non-coding RNA is filed under the name Pan troglodytes (chimpanzee). Its description in RNAcentral is "long non-coding RNA NONPTRT014941". Lineage: Eukaryota; Metazoa; Chordata; Mammalia; Primates; Hominidae. The record is from RNAcentral.
UCAGAUAUUGGAAUUAUCUAAUUCAGAAUAUAAAAUUACAAAAACAUGUGUAAAUAAAGAUGUCAAAUCAGAAAAAAUAAGCAAGCAAGAACAGAAUGUAAAAAUGCCCAGGCAGGUUUGAAAAAGAACCAAAGAGAACUUUGGAUGUGCCAAAGAAGAUGUAUAUUCCCCUGAAGAAGGAGACCCAGGGAGCUAUUUAAAUUAAC